AACCCGUAGAUCCGAUCUUGUGGUAAAGUGGACGGCACAAGCUCGCUUCUAUGGGUCUG
RNAcentral lists this microRNA precursor (59 nucleotides) under Cavia porcellus (domestic guinea pig). RNAcentral describes it as "microRNA cpo-mir-99a precursor". Its record names the gene cpo-mir-99a. It matches the Rfam family "mir-10 microRNA precursor family", at positions 8 to 66 of the family's 74-position model. From Rfam's summary of the family: In this case the mature sequence comes from the 5' arm of the precursor. The extents of the hairpin precursors are not generally known and are estimated based on hairpin prediction. The products are thought to have regulatory roles through complementarity to mRNA. The record is from miRBase by way of RNAcentral. Lineage: Eukaryota; Metazoa; Chordata; Mammalia; Rodentia; Caviidae.